AGAGUUUGAUCCUGGCUCAGAUUGAACGCUGGCGGAAUGCUUUACACAUGCAAGUCGAACGGUAACAGCAGAGCUUGCUCUGGCUGACGAGUGGCGGACGGGUGAGUAAUAUAUCGGAACGUGUCCAAUAAUGGGGGAUAACUAGCCGAAAGGUUGGCUAAUACCGCAUACGCCCUGAGGGGGAAAGCUGGGGAUCUUCGGACCUGGCGUUAAUGGAGCGGCCGAUACCUGAUUAGCUAGUAGGUGGGGUAAAAGCCUACCUAGGCAACGAUCAGUAGCUGGUCUGAGAGGACGACCAGCCACACUGGGACUGAGACACGGCCCAGACUCCUACGGGAGGCAGCAGUGGGGAAUUUUGGACAAUGGGGGCAACCCUGAUCCAGCCAUUCCGCGUGAGUGAAGAAGGCCUUCGGGUUGUAAAGCUCUUUCGCAAGAGAAGAAACGAUAUAGGUUAAUAGCCUAUGUUAAUGACGGUAUCUUGAUAAGAAGCACCGGCUAACUACGUGCCAGCAGCCGCGGUAAUACGUAGGGUGCAAGCGUUAAUCGGAAUUACUGGGCGUAAAGCGUACGCAGGCGGUUUGGUAAGUCAGAUGUGAAAUCCCCGAGCUCAACUUGGGAACUGCGUUUGAAACUACCAGACUAGAAUAUGUCAGAGGGGGGUAGAAUUCCACGUGUAGCAGUGAAAUGCGUAGAGAUGUGGAGGAAUACCAAUGGCGAAGGCAGCCCCCUGGGAUAAUAUUGACGCUCAUGUACGAAAGCGUGGGGAGCGAACAGGAUUAGAUACCCUGGUAGUCCACGCCCUAAACGAUGUCAACUAGUUGUUGGUGGAGUAAAAUCCAUGAGUAACGUAGCUAACGCGUGAAGUUGACCGCCUGGGGAGUACGGUCGCAAGAUUAAAACUCAAAUG
Molecule: ribosomal RNA, 907 nt
Filed under: uncultured bacterium
Lineage: Bacteria
Description: bacterial SSU rRNA
Rfam family: Bacterial small subunit ribosomal RNA
Source: RNAcentral